AUUGAACGCUGGCGGCAUGCCUUACACAUGCAAGUCGAACGGUAACGGGCCUUCGGGUGCCGACGAGUGGCGAACGGGUGAGUAAUACAUCGGAACGUGCCCGAUCGUGGGGGAUAACGAGGCGAAAGCUUUGCUAAUACCGCAUACGAUCUACGGAUGAAAGCAGGGGACCGCAAGGCCUUGCGCGGACGGAGCGGCCGAUGGCAGAUUAGGUAGUUGGUGGGAUAAAAGCUUACCAAGCCGACGAUCUGUAGCUGGUCUGAGAGGAUGAUCAGCCACACUGGGACUGAGACACGGCCCAGACUCCUACGGGAGGCAGCAGUGGGGAAUUUUGGACAAAGGGCGCAAGCCUGAUCCAGCCAUGCCGCGUGCAGGAUGAAGGCCUUCGGGUUGUAAACUGCUUUUGUACGGAACGAAAAGCCUUCUUUUAAUACAGGAGGGUCAUGACGGUACCGUAAGAAUAGGCACCGGCUAACUACGUG
This 482-nucleotide ribosomal RNA is filed under the name uncultured bacterium. RNAcentral describes it as "partial 16S ribosomal RNA". It matches the Rfam family "Bacterial small subunit ribosomal RNA", at positions 30 to 507 of the family's 1533-position model. The record is from RNAcentral.